This 253-nucleotide ribosomal RNA is filed under the name uncultured bacterium. RNAcentral's name for it is "partial 16S ribosomal RNA". It matches the Rfam family "Bacterial small subunit ribosomal RNA", at positions 524 to 776 of the family's 1533-position model. The record is from RNAcentral.
UACGUAGGGCGCAAGCGUUGUCCGGAAUUACUGGGCGUAAAGAGCUCGUAGGCGGUCUGUCGCGUCGGAUGUGAAAGCCCGGGGCUUAACCCCGGGUCUGCAUUCGAUACGGGCAGACUAGAGUGUGGUAGGGGAGAUCGGAAUUCCUGGUGUAGCGGUGAAAUGCGCAGAUAUCAGGAGGAACACCGGUGGCGAAGGCGGAUCUCUGGGCCAUUACUGACGCUGAGGAGCGAAAGCGUGGGGAGCGAACAGG